UACGGGGGGUGCAAGCGUUGUUCGGAAUCAUUGGGCGUAAAGCGGGUGUAGGCGGUCUGGAGGGUCAGGUGUGAAAGCCCGGGGCUCAACCUCGGAACUGCGCUUGAAACCGCCAGACUUGAGUACGAGAGAGGAUCGUGGAAUUGCAGGUGUAGAGGUGAAAUUCGUAGAUAUCUGCAAGAACGCCGGUGGCGAAGGCGACGGUCUGGAUCGAUACUGACGCUCAGACCCGAAAGCGUGGGGAGCAAACAGG
Molecule: ribosomal RNA, 253 nt
Filed under: uncultured bacterium
Lineage: Bacteria
Description: partial 16S ribosomal RNA
Rfam family: Bacterial small subunit ribosomal RNA
Source: RNAcentral